GCUUGAUGUGUUAGCAUGGAAUAAUGAAAUAUGACUUUAGUCCUAUUUUCGUUGGUUUAGGUACUUCAGUAAUGAUGAAUAGAAACGGUUAGGGGCAUUUGUAUUUGGUCGCUAGAGGUGAAAUUCUUGGAUUG
This 134-nucleotide ribosomal RNA is filed under the name Rhizopus arrhizus. RNAcentral describes it as "Rhizopus oryzae partial small subunit ribosomal RNA". It matches the Rfam family "Eukaryotic small subunit ribosomal RNA", at positions 799 to 927 of the family's 1831-position model. The record is from RNAcentral. Lineage: Eukaryota; Fungi; Mucoromycota; Mucoromycetes; Mucorales; Rhizopodaceae.